AUGGAUCCGCCGCCGACGCGCAUGGGAUGGCAACAGCAGGCUUGCAAGUACGGAGAGACCAGGGAUGGGAAGCUCUGCAUGGCGUGGACUUCCGAUCGUGGUCGUGUGCUGGAUGUUUCGAUCCGGAGAGCCGAUGACGACGACGACGGUGUCCAGAAAUGGAUGCCGGGCACGACUGGAUUUGAGAUGCUGGAUGCGAUUGAUGAGUUGAAGCUGCCGUUUGAAGAUGAAAGCCGUAUGCUGGAGGUGGACGUUGUUGCCAUCAUCCGUGGCACUGUGUAUUUGUCUACCUUCGAUGCAUGGGCAUCCCCUCCUGCUUAUUCUGGCUGGUUCCUAUCCUUCUGCAUUGAAACAGAGGAGCUGAAGAAGGUCUGCCCUAUCACUCGCUCCGAUUCUUUUAUCCCUAUGUCAUGGCGUGGCCUCCCGUUUUGGUGCGCAAUAAGGUGGACUCGUAAGAGGAACAGGGAAACUAGAGCUCGGUCAUUGUAUCUGUACUCCAUAUAUUACCUUUUGUUCUAA
This 519-nucleotide ribosomal RNA is filed under the name Triticum aestivum (bread wheat). RNAcentral describes it as "partial small subunit ribosomal RNA". Lineage: Eukaryota; Viridiplantae; Streptophyta; Magnoliopsida; Poales; Poaceae. The record is from RNAcentral.